Molecule: small RNA, 143 nt
Filed under: Flavobacterium pectinovorum
Lineage: Bacteria; Pseudomonadati; Bacteroidota; Flavobacteriia; Flavobacteriales; Flavobacteriaceae
Description: Flavo-1 RNA
Rfam family: Flavo-1 RNA
Source: RNAcentral
UUCUAGCCCAGAUAGCAGUGAAAAGCUUUUUGAAAUGACAACUAUUUUUUGUUGGUAGAAAAAAGCGACCAGCGGAAGCUCUUUUUUUACCUUACAAAAAAAGGGAGGCAUGAAAAAACUUGUAACGGAUAGCUGGAUUAGCU